UGUUUUUAACUAUGUAUAACUUCAUUGUUAGACUGCUGUGUGACUUCAGUAUGAAGUCAUUUAUACCAAUCAAUGACUAAUAUUUUUUUGAUCAACGAAUGCUUUAGA
Thalassophryne amazonica is the source of this 108-nucleotide long non-coding RNA. RefSeq lists it as uncharacterized. The record is from RefSeq and is a predicted model, not a curated record. Lineage: Eukaryota; Metazoa; Chordata; Actinopteri; Batrachoidiformes; Batrachoididae. The transcript has 4 exons.